GCCUUAAGUUCCGAAUAAAUAGUAGUUUUCAGGUACAAAUUUAGUGUGGUAGUGAGCGGGGUGUUACAUCCCCCCCCACCUUAAAAAAAUUUGGUUCUUCAAAUUUGUUUUGAAUAGGUCAGGGAACUUCUCUCUUAUCUCACUUUCCAACUCCCACGUCACCUCUUCCGGAGUAUGGUGCUGCUACUGCACCUUCACCAUGGGGAUCAUUUUGUUGCAUAAAAC
This 225-nucleotide long non-coding RNA is filed under the name Carica papaya (papaya). RNAcentral's name for it is "long non-coding RNA (CPAP_LNC009360)". The record is from RNAcentral. Lineage: Eukaryota; Viridiplantae; Streptophyta; Magnoliopsida; Brassicales; Caricaceae.